This 495-nucleotide ribosomal RNA is filed under the name uncultured Glomeromycotina. RNAcentral describes it as "partial small subunit ribosomal RNA". It matches the Rfam family "Eukaryotic small subunit ribosomal RNA", at positions 591 to 1092 of the family's 1831-position model. Lineage: Eukaryota; Fungi; Glomeromycota. The record is from RNAcentral.
CCAAUAGCGUAUAUUAAAGUUGUUGUGGUUAAAAAGCUCGUAGUUGAACCUUGGGCCUGGCUGGCCGGUCCGCCUCACCGCGUGUACUGGUCCGGCCGGGCCUUUCCCUCUGUGGAACCCCAUGCCCUUCACUGGGCGUGGCGGGGAAACAGGACUUUUACUGGGAAAAAAUUAGAGUGCUCCAGGCAGGCCUAUGCUCGAAUACAUUAGCAUGGAAUAAUAGAAUAGGACGUGUGGUUCUAUUUUGUUGGUUUCUAGGACCGCCGUAAUGAUUAAUAGGGACAGUCGGGGGCAUCAGUAUUCAAUUGUCAGAGGUGAAAUUCUUGGAUUUAUUGAAGACUAACUACUGCGAAAGCAUUUGCCAAGGAUGUUUUCAUUAAUCAGGAACGAAAGUUAGGGGAUCGAAGACGAUCAGAUACCGUCGUAGUCUUAACCAUAAACUAUGCCGACUAGGGAUCGGACGGUGUUAUUUUUUGACCCGUUCGGCACCUUACG